This 476-nucleotide ribosomal RNA is filed under the name uncultured bacterium. RNAcentral's name for it is "bacterial SSU rRNA". It matches the Rfam family "Bacterial small subunit ribosomal RNA", at positions 36 to 518 of the family's 1533-position model. The record is from RNAcentral.
CUGGCGGCGUGCCUAACACAUGCAAGUCAAGGAAAGCGGCUCGGUCGGAGUACUUGGCGCAAGGGUGAGUAAUGUAUAGGUAAUCUGCCCUUUGGACUGGGAUAACCUCGAGAAAUCGAGGACAAUACCAGAUGAUGCAGCGGAACCGCAUGGUUAUGUUGUUAAAGAUUUAUCGCCAAAGGAUGAGCCUAUAUCCCAUCAGGUAGUUGGCAGGGUAAAAGCCUACCAAGCCUACGACGGGUAGCUGGUCUGAGAGGAUGAUCAGCCACAUUGGAACUGAGACACGGUCCAGACUCCUACGGGAGGCAGCAGUGAGGAAUAUUGCGCAAUGGGCGAAAGCCUGACGCAGCAACGCCGCGUGGAAUGAUGAAGUUCUUCGGAAUGUAAAGUCCUUUUGCAGGGGAAGAAUCUGCCGGUACACCGGCAUUGACGGUACCCUGCGAAUAAGCCACGGCUAACUCUGUGCCAGCCGCCGC